AGUGCAUCUAUGGAUAGGUUCAUAAUCAAUUAUUUCUUUAAAUACCUUCUAGCAAUUAGGUUUUGCCCCAAGCAUCCUUUUAGUAGGUGUGUGGCACCUCCACUGAAAAUUCUAGUUAGGUCCAACCAUUAAUAUGACAACACCAAGUGUAUCUAACAAAUGGAUGUCCAUAUCCGAGUGUGGCUCCGCCAACCUGAGC
Molecule: long non-coding RNA, 199 nt
Filed under: Elaeis guineensis (African oil palm)
Lineage: Eukaryota; Viridiplantae; Streptophyta; Magnoliopsida; Arecales; Arecaceae
Description: long non-coding RNA (EGUI_LNC036230)
Source: RNAcentral